CAGUCGCCGCGGUAAUACAGAGGGUGCGAGCGUUAAUCGGAUUUACUGGGCGUAAAGCGUGCGUAGGCGGCUUUUUAAGUCGGAUGUGAAAUCCCUGAGCUUAACUUAGGAAUUGCAUUCGAUACUGGGAAGCUAGAGUAUGGGAGAGGAUGGUAGAAUUCCAGGUGUAGCGGUGAAAUGCGUAGAGAUCUGGAGGAAUACCGAUGGCGAAGGCAGCCAUCUGGCCUAAUACUGACGCUGAGGUACGAAAGCAUGGGGAACGAACAGGAUUAGAUACCCCAGUAGUCCCUGUCUCUUAUAA
This 301-nucleotide ribosomal RNA is filed under the name uncultured bacterium. RNAcentral describes it as "partial 16S ribosomal RNA". It matches the Rfam family "Bacterial small subunit ribosomal RNA", at positions 509 to 809 of the family's 1533-position model. The record is from RNAcentral.